This 220-nucleotide unclassified non-coding RNA is filed under the name uncultured fungus. RNAcentral describes it as "partial contains 18S rRNA, ITS1, 5.8S rRNA, ITS2 and 28S rRNA". Lineage: Eukaryota; Fungi. The record is from RNAcentral.
AAGGAUCAUUAUAGUGAAAAGCUAUAGACUGGUGUCUAAGGAUGAAACCGUAAAGGUUAAUCCUACACCGCCCAACCUUGUCAAUAAAUUUAACGUUACCUCGGUAGGUUAGCCUGCCGGUGGACAAUUUAAAAACCUUUUUAAACAUACUUGUAAAUACACUUGUCUGAUAAUUUUUAAAAUAAAAUUAAAACUUUCAACAACGGAUCUCUUGGUUCUG